This 73-nucleotide transfer RNA is filed under the name Chloroflexota bacterium. RNAcentral describes it as "tRNA-Thr". It matches the Rfam family "tRNA". From Rfam's summary of the family: Transfer RNA (tRNA) molecules are approximately 80 nucleotides in length. Their secondary structure includes four short double-helical elements and three loops (D, anti-codon, and T loops). Further hydrogen bonds mediate the characteristic L-shaped molecular structure. tRNAs have two regions of fundamental functional importance: the anti-codon, which is responsible for specific mRNA codon recognition, and the 3' end, to which the tRNAs corresponding amino acid is attached (by aminoacyl-tRNA synthetases). tRNAs cope with the degeneracy of the genetic code in two manners: having more than one tRNA (with a specific anti-codon) for a particular amino acid; and 'wobble' base-pairing, i.e. permitting non-standard base-pairing at the 3rd anti-codon position. The record is from RNAcentral. Lineage: Bacteria; Bacillati; Chloroflexota.
GCCCACAUAGCUCAGUUGGUAGAGCACCUCUUUGGUAAAGAGGAGGUCACCAGUUCGAAUCUGGUUGUGGGCU